AUUAAUUUAUUUUUCAAGUCACUAUUCUUAACAACUUUCAAGUAACUACUUCACGUUUCAAAUAACUAUACUUAAUCAUUUUCAAGUCACUACACUUAAUCAUUCAUUUCAAGUCACUAUACUUAACCACUUUCAAGUAACUAAUUCACAUUUUAAGUAACUACACUUAACUAUUUUCUAGUCACUAGUUCACAAUUUCAAGUAACUACACUUAACCGUUUUCAAGUCACAAGUUUGCAAUUUCAAGUAACUACCCUUAAUCAUUUUCAAGUCACUACACUUAAUAAUUUUCAAAUAACUUAUUCACAUUUCAAGUCACUACACUCAAACCAUGUUCAAAUAGCUAAUUAACAUUUCAAGUCACUAUACUUCACCAUUUUCAACUCUCUAAUUCACAUUUCAAAUGACUAAACCUAACCAUGUUCAAGUCAUGAAUUCACAUUUCAAGUGUCAACACUAAAUCAAUUUCAACUCAUGAAUUCACAUUUUCAAGUGUUUACACUUUACUAAUUUCAAAACACAAGUUCACCUUUCAAGCAAGGACACAAAAUUAUUUUCAAGUCGCUAAGCCACUUCUCAAGUGACUACACUUGAUCAUUUUGAAGUCACUAGUUCACCUUUCAAGUAAUUACACUAAACCAUUUUCAACUCUCCAAUUCACAAUUCAAGCGACUAAACCUAACCAUGUUCAAGUCAUGAAUUCACAUUACAAGUAUCAACACUAAACCAAUUUCAACUCAUGAAUUCACAUUUUCAAGUGUUUACACUUUACUAAUUUCAAAACACAAGUUCACCUUUCAAGUAACUACCUAAACCAUUUUCAAGUCGCUAAUCCACUUCUCAAGUGACUAUAAUUGAUCAUUUUGAAGUCACUAGUAUACAUUUCAAAACACUACACUUACCAUUUUCAAAUAGCUAAUUGACAUUUCAAGUCACUAUACUUCACCAUUUUCAAAACACUACACUUAACCAUUUUCAACUCUCUAAUUCACAUUUCAAAUGACUAAACCUAACCAUGUUCAAGUCAUG
RNAcentral lists this long non-coding RNA (1029 nucleotides) under Capsicum annuum. Its description in RNAcentral is "long non-coding RNA (CANN_LNC017026)". Lineage: Eukaryota; Viridiplantae; Streptophyta; Magnoliopsida; Solanales; Solanaceae. The record is from RNAcentral.